CAUUUGAUCAACUCACUAAGUGAGGCUUUUUUUCAAGAGUUCCCCCUCCUCAUAAAAAAAAUAAAUAAAUAAAAUAAAAUCCUUUGUAUAUUUUUUAGCCUCCCACUCAUCGUUCUUAGAAUGACCACACGAACAUGAAACAAAUGGGAAGGCUAGAUAAGGUAGCUUUUUAAUUGGUGUCAAUAGUUCGCUCUUUUUCAAAUAUUGUCACUUUCAAAUUACAAGUCUUCCUUGAAAUCUCUCUUCCACCACAUCCCAUGCUCCUGAAAGAAGACUCAAAUAUGUGGAUGGGAGCCUCCCAACUUUGCACCCUAAUACAACCACCAAUUCCUUCACAUUAGUAACACCCCCAAUUGGAAUCAGUUCACUUAUUUCCAAAUUGAUUCUUAGCCUAGAAAUUGCCUCAAACCGCAUUAGAAUCCAACUGAGGUAGAUUAUCUAGUCUUUGCAUGUCUCACAACAAAUUAGGGUGUCAUUAGCAAACAAAAAGUAGGACACUGCCACCUCCUUGCCACCUUUAACCCGCACCUUAAAGCCUAAAAUGAAACCCCCUUCCCUCCUUCUCCUUAUUAGACAACUUAAGGCCUUCAUUGUCAUGACAAAUAAAAAAGAAGAAAGUAGGUCCCCUUGCCUCAACCUCCUAAAACUUAGAAAGAAGCCAACAAGAGUACCAUUAACAAGGACUAAUUACCUAGGUGUGGAGAUACACCCAUUAAUCCACCCAAUCUUGUUCACAACUUCAAGAAGGAAACCCCAAUUUACAUAAUCAUAGGCCUUCUUAAUGUCGAGCUUACAUAAAAUUCCAUUAGUGCCACUCUUCAAUCUUGAAUCAACAACCUCAUUUGCAACAAGGGUAACAUCCAAGAUUUGCCUCCCAUCAACCAAAACAUUUUGUGAGUUUGAGAUCACUCUACCCACCACUUUCUUAAAUAUAUUAGCUAACACCAUUGCUAGCAAUUUGUACAAGCUCCCCACCAAACUAAUUGGACUAAAAUCCUUAUAAUCUUCUGCUCCACCUUUUUUAAGGAUCAAGACAAAAAAUAUAGUUUUGAUACUUCUCUCAAAAAAGCCUUGCUCAUGGAAUUCUCCAAAGAACCUAUCACCUCACUCUUCACAAAGUCCCAACACAGCUACUAAAAAUUCAUAGUAAACCCUUCUAGUCUCAAGGCUUUAUCCCCUAUUCAAAGUUGAGAAAACAAAAAAAAUUUCUCCUCUAAAAAAGGCAACUCCAAACUCCUACCUUCCUCCAUUCUCAAAGAGGGAAAAGGACAUCCAAUUAAUAAAUUACCAAGGCAGUGACUUCAUAUUUAGUAAAUGAUGGUGCUAAUUACAUGAUGAUAAGUUGUAAACACCCACAAAGAGAUUUUGGCGCCUCAUGAUUAUUUUGAUGUGUCAAAAGGUUACAUUUGCACCAGGCCAAAUCCAGGAACUUUUCCCCCUGUGAGGUGAAGUAAACAACUAAAAUAAUACUCGAGGCUAUUAUUUAAUGUACAAAAUUUUGGGGUUACCAUCCCAUCAAUUUUUAUAUUAAUCUCACAUUCUCACUUUCUUUACUUAGAUGACAUGGUGAUUUUUUUAUUUUAUUUUUAUAAAAAUAAAAAUACGAAUAUUUUCGUAAUCUAAUCAUCACCAGCUGCCUAAACAAAGUGGUAACACAGAUGGUAAAAAAGGAGGAAUAACUAGCAUUUUCCGAAUUUUAAUUGCCUCCAUAUGCCACUUUGAGGCAUCCUAUGAUUAGCAAUCUUCAUGCCAACGAGGAUCUUUGGCCUUGACAGAAUAGAUACUUCAUUUCAAAGAUGUAAACAAUAUUGAUAUAUUAUACUCUUGCAACAUUGUUUUGCAGUAUCAAUGGCUUGGUCAUUAUGAUCACAAGAUGUAGUUGAAAGAACUGUAAAUUUGUAGGGUUACCUGUUCUCAAGACAGGAUUGCCUGCCUUUACAAGGCUAAAGCAGGCAUGCUAAACUGCUCAUAGAAAGAGAGACCAAUAAAAGAGGAACCAGAAUCAUCUGCUCAUCACCUUUCCAGAUGAAGACAAGACUAUCAUCGAUAAUGAAUAAUCCCAUGUGGUAACUGGUCCCUCUGCAGGAAUAAGGGCUACCCUCUUGAUAGCAGUGAGCUGUUUGGGCAUCUAAUAGUUAAGGAUAUAAGAUGUCCUAGGUUCAGAAGGUAUCAAAGGAUCCAUGGCUUUUAUGGAUGCUCCUUUUGUGAUCUGGCUCCCAACCUUAGUGCUAUUAAGACCUGAUUAUAGUGCCAAGGUAGUGAAGUGAUGAAUGGUAAUUGGAUACAGCACUAUCACAACCACCACCUGCAUGACAUAAAAUAAUAUUUCAACAAUCCACGUGUCUAAGCAAGCAAGAACACAUGAAAGCCCAUACAAAGGUGGGUGCCCCCUUUUUUCUCAUUCUGGUUCAUGGGUGCUUCCAGUAACCCUACCUACUCUCCUGAAUUCUUCUCUGAAUUUCUGCCCCACCUUCAACAAUUAUGAUUCUUAAACUUAAAACUUCCAAGCUACAUCAAUCGAAAUCUGAUAUCAACGAAGAAGGGAUUAUGGACCAGGGCUGGAGGUCCUUCUUUAGUGAUGUUAUCUCAAACAUUUCAAGCCUAGGACCUGGACACCUUUAAGUUUAGAAAAUUUUAUGUUUGUUUUACUUAUUUCCUAUCCUACACCAAGUCUCAAGUAGAAACAACAAAACUAUUUGAUGUGUUCCUUAAAUCCUAAAUAAUUGUAAGCACCAGUAUGCACAAAAGAUAUUAAGCUAGGGCCUAGCCUUAAUAUAACAAGGAAGAUUGGCAAUAUGACUUAAAAUGGCAUUUUUUUUUUUAAAAUGCCCUCCAAGGAUUAGUAAAUUACAUUAAUUGAGCAUACUCACAAUAGGAAUAAUAGUAGGAAGAGCUUGAAAUUCAAUGAAAGAAUUUAUUCAGUUAGAAAAGUUAAUUCAGUUAACAAAUUCAGGAAGAUCAAUGCCAAUCUAAUGGGAAAACAAGAAACAUAAAAAAUGAAUAUAGAAACAGCAAGAAGUUGAUCAAGAACAGCGAAGAACCAACCUUCCCCUUUCCGAUAAACAUCCCGGAGCUAGUCCUAACUUCGCUGAGCCUGCUCUUCCCUGACACAUUAUCUGCGACAGCAGAUCUCUUCAGCUCUGAUUUGGCCUGUUACAACCCAACCAAAAGUCAACAAACAUCUGACCUCUCUUUGGUCGCUGAUAAAAUGUGAUAGAAGAAAAGAAAUUAAAAUUUCAAAUAUUCUUUCAAUAGACUCAAUUGCAGUGAAUUAUUUAUGAUCAAAGUUCCACUUUUUUGUUUUCCUUAUUUUCUCAGCCACGGAUAUAAACAUAUUUCCAAAAAUUUAGGGAUUAAAUUCAUGAAAUUUUCGAUUCAACUCACAAGAGAUAUCAAAUGAUCGCAUUCUUCUUCCGAAAGAAAACCCUCGUACACGAAAGCUCUGCAAAACAAUCGGAUUCAACACAUGAUAAACCAAUAAAAAAAAAACUAAAAAAGAAAUAAAGAAAACCGACCUCGGUUUCCAAGAAAUCUGCCUGACUUUAGCGGCAGAGACGUUGGAGCCAGCUGCAUCCGCAUACGAGCUCGAAAACUCGAGUAUGGUCGAUGAGAUCCAAAGCAAAAGGAGGAACUGCAGAGAAGACACCAUAAUGUUGAACCUUCGAUUGGAUCCCGAGAAAAAAUUUUCCGGGAAAUGUUCGUUUACCAAUUUGAAUAGUUAUUCGUUUUUUGGCUUUAGGGUGUUUGAAUCUGUAAACGUGGCUGGAAUUCUGAUGAAGUCUAGAUCGAAACGACGUCCAUCGCUGCGUUUUGUUUAAUUUAUAGGCUACUGGCCUCCUUUCAGCUGGACCCACUCUCCUGUCCUGUCAUCAUGUUUAUCGGGUACAAAUGUAUUAAAGAAAUGGAAAUGCAAAUACAAAUACAAAUUCAGUAUAAAAUCUCUCUCUCUCUCUCUCUCUCUCCUUAAGAACAUCUAUUUCCUUUCUCCCUUUUGGAAACUAUAUUCUAUAGUCCUUAAUUUACUUCUCUGUAACAAUGAAAUAGCCUUCAAUUUCUGAGUUGCAGUUCUGACCCUCUCUACAUUGACAAGCCUCAUCAUCAUAGGAAGACAACUUUCCUUCAACAAUGGAGAAGUAUAUUCUAACAAUGCUUAUCACUAAAAGGCCAAUACUACGAGUAAUCACACCUCUAAUUGUGAAUAAAUUUGUGGCUAAUAGUUUAAAAAAUGCCGUUAAAAGUUUCAUGAUAGUAUUAUUUGAGAUUCGGUUUUAAGAAAAUUUUAUCAAGUCAAAGAGUCAAAUGAAGAUCAAGAAGAUAUCAUGAAGAUAUAGUGAAUUGAAAAGCCUUAGGAUCGUAUCUUUGUAAGGUUGAAUGAUACACUAUGACUUAAUUGCAUUAGACAAUACUCGUGAUGAAGGGUUAUAUAUAAAAACCAGAAACUUUUGACUUCAAUUUUGGAGUUAAAUACUUUUAGUUGAAUUAUUAUCUUUACAAACGUUUUUUUUUAGAAAAAUCACAUAUUAAGUGUUUCUUAUAACGUGUUUGACAGUAAUUUUAGAAGGUGUUUUUAACAUUUCUAACAUUCUCAAAUUUGUAUUUUUCAGGUAUUAGAAAGACUAAAAACAUUUCCUAGAAUUACUACUAAACCCCCUUAAAAAAGUAACCAUGCAAUAUUCUACAUCAUUUAAGGGAAGAAAUUCUUGACAUCAUAUGUAUAGUGAGUUGCUCUUGAUCACGUAACUACAUUUUAAAGUCGGAAGAAUUUGUUAUUAUAAAAUAGUAAUCGAGCCCUGCAAUCAUGUGGAACACAACAAGGAUGUUGUAUUUGUGUGGAAAAAUGGGGUUAAAUGUCAUAUCCCACAUCUAAUAGGAGUUGUUUUUCUUAAUGAUGCGAUGAAUUUUAAAGUCGUGAAGGACCUAUUGGGCCUAAAACAAACAAUAUUUAUAUAGGAGAAAACAUGUCAUUGCAAGCCAUAAUUUAACAAUAGACACUCUAGAUCUCCAUUCUGAACUAGGCAAAAUCCAAGUUUUGAUUCACACAUUGAUUGAACUUCUUACGAAUAAAAGGGUCACAUGAUCGCAGUGGGCAGUAGGUGUAGAGGAACCAUCCACAACUUCAUAUUUUACAGUCUAAUGCAAGAAAUAAUAUUUUCAAAGCCGGCUACCUACCCUUAAUAAAAAAAUAAAAUAAAUAAAGCAUUCCUUAACAAAGAUUUUAGAUCUCCAAAAGAAUCUCCAUAUGCCUACUCAGAUCGUUCAAGUGCUUUGUUGAGUUGUAUUCUUCAGCAUCAAGGAGCUCCUCAGAAUAUGUCCUCUGGAGAAUAGGCUUUUGGUAUCGCUUUCCAAGGGUGGAAAUGUCUUCUCUACCUUUUAGAACCUGCACCACCUGCAGCACAUAAUGUUUGAUCCUGGUCAUGGUUAUUAACUUCCUUAUCAUCUAUGACUGAAACAAGCAUUUAUACGUAAGUUCACAGCCAAGAACCAGAUGGACUAAUUAAAUGAAAGCUCAGAACCGAUGUUUUGAAAGCUUGGAUAUCACCCUUGGGUCAUAUCUAGCUGUGAUCUCCAACUGAACACUUCUCUUUCUAAUUUUAAAUUGGUCUUCUCCAGCUUCUCUCAAAAGAGCAGGUGAUUCAUCUUUUGGAAUUACUCCUAGAAUGUAUUCACAGAAUUUAUAAUAAAAUAUGUUUUGAUCACAAAGAUUUAAAUUUCUUGUGCAACCAUCAGAGAGUAGGCCUGUAGAUUAGUGGUCUAAAGCUUACUAUUGUGCUUCUGCAGACUAACAUCAAGGUCCAACUAUACAUAUCUUUAGUUAGUAUCUAUGAUGGAUACAUGCCUGGUUCAUUCGAGGUCGUUGAACAGAAGACUGAUGAAGGCACAAACUAGAGACUGUAGCCACAAUGUUCAUCUGUUCUGAGUCGUAAGCGUCGGCAAGCCUUGGAUCAACAAGCUCAUCAAUACUAUUGUUAAUAAGCAAAGGUUUGGCCUGCAAUAAGUUAUUUGAAACAGCUUCAAUUUCUAAUUGUAUAACUCAAUACACUAGCCAAACAGGGAGAGACAGAAGCAACCUACCCACAUCACAAGGCUUUUCUGUGAGCUAUCCAGAGCUGGGCGUCCGGUGAUGAGCUCUAAUAGUAGCACUCCGUAGGCAUAUACAUCUGUCUUUUCAUCGACUAUGCCAUGCAAGAAGUACUCAGGAGGAAGGUAGCUGUUACAAUACGAAAUAAUGUUAAAUACCGGAAUGGCAGCAAAGAAAUCUUCCAUAGAUAUUGAGAACCACAAGAAGUUUUGAGUCUACAAACCCGAAAGUGCCUUCAAAUCCUGAUACAAUAUGGUGAGUACACUGCUCAGGUAGCCACUUUGCAAGCCCAAAAUCAGAAAUCUGGAUUGAUCUUGAAGUUACAUAUUGAAAUGCAAAUUGAUUUUAAGUAGUAGUAAGGAGAGUUGAAGACCACAAUCCCAAAUCACAGAAUUGCUGUGAAAUGGUGUUUUCAGUACAUCAUUUCUUGGUUUGAAGGCAUACCUGAGGCUCAAAAUCCUCUUUAAGCAAAAUAUUAGAAGCCUUUAUGUCUCUGUGGAUGAUUCUUCUUUGGCCCCCCUCAUGAAGAUAACCAAGGCCCUCAGCUGUCCCUAAAGCAAUCUUGUAUCUGAUUUCCCAUUCUAGCUUCUUCUCCGGGCCUGGAGAUAGGGGAAAGAGAGGAAAACUAAUUAUUUUGUCAGUCGGAGAUCUGUAAGAACUAGAAUAUUACAAGAUUGAAAUGAUGAACAGACUGUAUAGGAGGGAAGCUAAGCUCCCAUGAGGAGACAAAUAAAGAACAAGGUGCAUUCCGCCUUCAACACCAUAACCAACUAAUUUAGCUGUAUUGGGAUGGUCAAUAUGGACUAUAAUCCCGAGCUCGGAUAAGAAGUCUACUGUCAUCUCUUCUGGGGUUCCUCUGAUAAUACGCUUGAUCGCAACAAACUGCCCAUCUUGCAAUUGUCCCUUGUAAACUUCAGCAUAUCCUCCUUCUCCAAUUAAAUUCUCUUUAUUGAAAGACACGAGGAUGAUUGUCAGAAUGGAGAUUUGACAGACUUAGGUUCAAAUGAAUUGCUAAAUAUUCAAACACUAAAUUCAAAUUUUGAAAAGAUUACACACUAUGGCUGAAAUUGUCAGUUGCAGUUUCAAGCUCUGAUAACGAGAAAGCUUUCCAUGAAGGUUUCAUUAAGCAUAAUCCAGCAUCUAAAGAGGGAUACAGUGCUGGAAUCAUGCUUCCUCUUGCCCUUCUGCUUUUACUUCUUGAGAGCUUCCGGAUGCCUAGGGAAGGUAAGGUUUGCAAGCCCAUUGCAGAUCCUUUUUUAAAUAACUGGGAGAAUCUAUGCCAGUUAGAAGCAGAUCUUGUAUUCGAGGGAGUUUCUGAGUCUGAAGUACUGGCCUUGGAAGAAGCUGUUUCAGAUUCUACACUUCUUAAGCAGCCCUCAAGAACUCCUCUUGGAGAAGGCCCCUCCUUUCUCUCCUCCAUAUUUAGAGUUGCUGAGUCUAACAUAAUAAAAUUUAAGCAUUGGUACCAUCAUGGAAUACUUCUAGAGCAAAUGGAGAAACGAGGAUUAUACCUUCAGCCGAAAUCGAGACAGAGAGACUGGAAAGGUGUUCUCCAUCUGCAACAGGAUGAACCUUCCCUUCCGCAUUUUCUCCCCCAAUGUUGCCGGAACCCACACUGCAAAUAUGCAUAUUAAUAAAGAACAGAGAAUGGGACAAAACAUGAAACAAACCCCAGAGGGCCAACAAAAGGGUUGAGAAAUUAAAUAUCUCCAGACAACUACAACAUAUCUAAAUCCAGAGAAUUAGAGAUUACAAACAGACAAUUCAACAAUCAACCAUCCCAAACCAGAAAAGCCAAAAACCAGAAUCUGAAAAUGACAAUAUGAGGAUAUAUUUAUCUGUUACUCCAUAAACUGAAUCAUACAAAACCCAGUAUAGAGAAAUAAAGAUUCAGCCGACCCCAGAAGUAGAAAAAUGAUUUGAAAGCAAGAAUCCACGAGAGAAGGAAAGAACACUCGAAAUCAAACAAACCCACCUGGUAUUAUUCCAAUUUUCAUUUCUUUCCCAACAUUCCUCAACAAUCAAACAAUGCAUAAGAAAGUAUCGCAAACGAAAUCCUAAGAUAUUUGAAAUUUUAUGCCAGAUUAGCAUGAAAAAGAGCCAAACCCAGUAUCUAAAAAGCUCAGAAGGGAGAAUAUGAGAAAAGAAAUAAAUACCAAGGAGAAGCUGAAGGUUCUCGGACAUCUUCCAUGGAUUCUCAGAGACCACCCCAAAAAUGAGAGAGAGAGAAAGGGAAAGAGAUGGAGAGAGGUGGGCAUAGCUUCCGUGUGUAUAGAGCAUGCAAUUUAGCGAAAUUGAGCCCGAAUUUUUUGCUCAAAAACCGGCUUUUUUCAAAAAAAAAAAAAUCUCCUUGAACAAAUCUCUGGUUUUCAGUGAAAGCAAAAUAAAAUUAGAAAAUUCUGAGGAAUGUCGAGAGCACGAAAACAAGCGCGAGAAUCGCCUCCCUCUCAUGGGUGAUCACCACGUGGACUGAGAAAUCCUCUCAAAUGCAGAGAGGCAAGCAAUGGUCCGAAGGCGGAAAGACGUUGAAAUGUGGUGGUGAAACGACACCGUUUUGAACUGCAUGUAAAUUGUUAUUUCAUGAUUCGAUCUCCUACGCCUAUCACCCUUAAAUUAAUUUCCCACCCUCCGUUUUGAAACCCAUGUCCUAAUGAUUCAAUAUGGUAUGUCUGUUCCCCGAUAAAUUAAUUUUCCACCCUCCGAUUGACUUCCUGAAGAGACUUGUAUGUUCAACCACAUAUACUGGAAACUGGGUGAGCUGGAUCAUCAAAAGACACGAGGAGUACAAUUACAAAAAGCCAUUCUUCAGGUUGAGGAAAAGCCCAUCUUGAUUUAGGAGAUGGGAAACAUACGGCUGAGCCCCAAAACUCCAUGGCUGGCCUCUCAAGCAAGCUUUGCAGGAAACAUGGCAGAUUUUAAUGGUGCUACACAGGACACCGUCACACAAUUUUUCCAAUACUGAAGAUAUAUUCCCAAAGACUAGAGAAGGCAAGGUGAGGCGCCUCGAGUUUUCCUGAAUAUUGAUGCAGGGGGAGACCCCCAUCUCCUAGACCAAUUCAAAGAUGCAGAACAUAACAUUUUGAUUUUUUGUCACCCGAAUUACAACUUGAUAUGAAAAUUUUAACGAGGGGGGUUCAUAGAAUAGUGUUGUUACACCUCAUCAUAGUUUAAAUUGUUUAAUUUACAGCACAAACUGCAUAAGAGACUGCUGGUAAUUUCAAAAAAGCCAAGCUGACAGACAUAUAUGGUGCGGUUUCUGCAAACAAAUUUCAAUGGACGUUGCGAGUGAUCAAUCCCUCGAAUACAGCAUAGAGGUCCUUGUUAUCUGGGCCAAAAAUCUCAUCUGCCUUCCUUAGCGUCUCCUGAAAUGUGGAUAUUUUGUUGGAUCAAAUGUUGACAGGAAGAGAAGUUCAUUUGUGACAGGGAGAGAGGAGAAUAUAUACCUCUCUUGUUUGCUUGUGGGAAUUUAGUUCCUUGACAUUUGCUAGAAAUGCACCAAACUGCUCGUAAGACAAACGGCUCCUGAAAACAAAAAGGACCAGUUGGGCAACUCUUGAACGUCCUGGUCUUAAAGGAUUGAAUUGAACAAUUGAGGAAGAACAUAUAUAUCAUGCUAUAAUUAUUUGGAACAAUCAGAAAAUUCAUAAGUAAUUCAGUACCUAAGUACAAUAUUUAGAUUAUUUGUCAAGUGUAUAAACUUGUAAUCACUGACUGCUGAAAAAUAGGUGUACAAUCUAAAAUCCUGCAAACAGUCUGUGAUUUCAAUAGAAACAGAACUGUAGCCACUAGAACAGACUGCAUUCUGAGCUCAUAAAAUCAGCUUUGACCAUGCUUGCUAUGUAUGAUCACUUUCAGGGACACAGUGCACAGAGUUAAGCUUUUCUUUUUUAACUCUUCAUUUUUAUUUUAAUUUUUGGAUUUUUAAUGACUUUGACAUCAUUUAGUACCACAUGAAUGUUCCAAGUUUAGCGUAUGUUUACCUGACUUGGCGGAAAAACUCUUUUCCAUCAACUCGAGUUCGUCCUGGAACAAAAGAACACAAGGACUAAGAAUAUAAUGUAAUAAAUAUAAAUCUAAAGGGAAAUGCCACAAAAACAAAUAACUAUGUUGAAGAUCCAUAAAAGAUGAGGUCAUGAUGAUUCAAAAUAGAAUGAUCACCACUAUUACAUUAAAAUCAUAACUGCCCCAUACACAUCAAUUUGUAUGAGUUCCUUCAUGCAAAUCUUUUGUAAAAAAGGCAUUUUCAUGUCCAAGGGGUGGUUGUCUGGUAUCCCAUUUCAGUUCUGAACAUUAACACAUAUCAAGUGUGUUUGCUCAAUGUGCAGUCUGCUAAUUACCACCCAAUGCUGAAUGUGGUUUCUAUGUUGCUUUUGACAUCAUAAAUUGGUUACCCUUUCAAUAGCUUUAAAUUUUUACUACUACAAAUUCAAGAUCAAGGAGAUUUAACACCAUCUUUUCAGUUUUGACAAACACUGCCUAGAGCAUAACACUUCAGAUUACAAGAUUAAUAACUCAGCCAAGGGAAAGACAUGGAUUAAGAACCAAAAAGAGAGGGUACAUUCCAGGAAUGCAAUAGCUGGAGAAACAAGUUAACACUAGCAUAUAAACAUGUCUUGUUGUGCAACUUCUUGACCAAAAUUUCUAAAUGAAAAGCAGAAUAAAAGGUUAAGCAUCUUAGCUGUAACACAGGAUGAUUAGGCUUCGAUUUGUAAUAUGCCAUGUUAUAUCGUUCACAAUCAUGGGCAGCUGAUCAGUUUCACUCCUAGUAUUUUAUUUUUAUUUUUACGAUCAUGCAUGGUUCUAUUAUUACAAAAGAAAAUAUUUGAAAUUUGGCUUCAGAAUUGUAGACUAUUUGGUGAAAGGCAUAAAGCUUAAAAGAUAAUUGACUAAAAUGAUCCUAUUGGCAUCACCACAAUGGAGCCAAUGGAUUCUUAACUUUCUUAACAUAAUAAAAAGAAAUAGCAAUAAAUAGGUGAUGUCAUCAAUAUCUGAUUCCAGUAGAGUUCAGUGCAGGAGCUUAAGCACAGGACUUGGUAGCACCAUUUGACAAGGCAGCAUGGAGCUACCAGAUCCUGGCUUAAAAAAAGAUUAGAUAGUACAAAAUUUUUUGUAAAAGAAAGUUCUAGAGCUAACCAGUUUGUGAUCCGGACUCAGAGCUUGACAUUGAACUGUGCUGGCUAGUGGGCACUGAAGGCCUAUCAUCAAACAUUCCUCUUGAGGUUGAAAGUGAAAUUGAAUGUCGCCUUGGGGAUACCGAUGCGGAUAGAGUAGGAGGCGAGCCGGGAGGAGUAAGCCGAGGUGUGUUAGUUUGGGAUGCUAAGAGGAAGCCAUGUGAUAUGCCAGCUCUUGAGGCUGCCAUAACAAUUAACAAGAAAUAAGAAAAAUAAAAAGAGUCAUAUUAUAUACAAUUUCAAAGCUUUUCAUCAUUGAUAAAACACCACAUGUAGCAAACACAUAAAUCCAUCCAUUCAAUAAAGAGAACACUUCUGCAAAAUGAAGUGGUUGUUAUCCAAUGAACACAACUUUCAAUUUUAGGUUUGCACUUAAAACAACAACAACAACAUACCAUCCGUCUCCCGAUCCUCUGCAAAUGAAUUUCCAAUUUCUGAGUACUGGCUUCGUGUAGAAGAAUAUCUUGAUGUAGCAUCGUCUUCUGAAACAUAACAUAAGGUUUUUUUUUUUUUUUUUCCUUUUGGAAUUAAUACUUGUAAAAAAGAAGGCAUCAUCUAAACUCAAACCAGCAGUUACUUUGAAUCAGUAAGAGGCCAUCACAAAAUUAUUCAAAAAGGGUAAUUCUUCUCAGGCAUCUUCUAUAUUUUCCACUAAAGCACAAGAAUUUUCUACCAAUGGUAAAGCAGGAUGUGUCAGAGCACAUAUCAUGGAAAAAUUUUGAAAAAAAAAAAAAAACAAAAAAAUCAACCAUAAGAAUGUUUGAUUUUGGAAAAUUCAACACAUUUCCAUGGGAAACUGAAAUCAAUUUGCAAGUUUGAUUUCCCCCCAUGCACACUGCUAAACCAUUGGUGAACCAGUUUUAUGAUCCACGGCCAAUUAGUGGUAACUGGUAAGAACAAUUGGAACAGUAAAUGAAGUGGAUAGAAACAGUGAAAAAGACCUCCAGUCAUUGAAGCAGAAGAUAAACUCGAUUGGGCUGCCAUCUGUUUGGCAACAACCUGCGGAGAUGCUCCCUGUGGAAAAACUAGCUUUAGUUAUCAAAAUACACUCUGUUAUCAAAUGGCAAGUAGUUUCUACCAAACUGAUGCCUCUGAUGAAGAAAUAAAAAUUUUUAGGCAUGGGGGAUCACACAAAGAAGAUAACUCACAGAACUCUCUUCAUCCUCUUUAAGUGAUAGCAUGAGUGUCUUUCUAAAGCUCUCCAACUGAACACACAAACAUCCAAAAAAAAAAAAAUAUCCCUUUCAUUGUUAAAUGAUCUUUCUCAAUAUAUUAAAUUGAUAAACAAAUGGUAUCAAAUUAUGGCAUUCAGCUACUAAGGAUUCAACAUGAUAGCACGAAAUUGAAUACAUGUGCACAGAAAUUUAUGUCUUUUAUGCUGUAAAUUAUCAAUCAGAGUCCAAAAACCACAAUUUCAAAAUCAUCGAUCAAAGUUGGCCGAACUGAAACUGCAAAAACGGUUUGUUAGAUUCAGAAUAAAUACUAGUAAACUGAUUAGAUGAUAUAAAAUCAGGAAUUCGAGUCCCUGAACAUUCCAUCAAUUUUGGACUGUUUUCUAACUGCUGAACAAUUCAUUGAAUCCAAAUUCUUAAUAUUCAAUAAAAAAAAAAUUUCCAAGAAUAGAGAACUUAUAAUUAUCAUGAACUGUAAAUACGAAGAAAACAACCUUGGAGACAUCACGAUUAAGCUUCUUCACAGUAUUGGACAACGAUGCGUUCUCCUUCAGCAAGUUCUCCUGCAACAGAGAACCGAAUCACCGAGUCAAGCAAACGAGUCAGCAAAACCCCACACAUUUCAGGAAAAAAAUCCAGACCUUCUCCUGUUCGGCGAGGAAGAGCUUGUCGGCGGCGUCGGAGAGAGCAUGGUCGAGAGACUCGAUCUGAUCGUGGAGGUCGGCGACGAGGGCGUCCUUGUCGGCGAGUUUGGAGCGUAGAGCGGAAGCCUCAGAUUCGAGGGCGGAGACACGUGCGGAGAGCGCAAUGGAGGUGAUUUUGCGAGCCACAUCGAGCUGUUCGAAUGGAUCGGAGGGCAGAACUUCGAGCACUUCCUCGGGUAGGUCGAAGCUCGGAGUACCUGGUUCUUUUGCAAACAUUUUUUUCCCUUUUUUUUUCUAAUGGUAAUUACCUUUUCCCCUCGUUUGGCCCCGUUUAAUAUUGUUAAUUUAUUAUAUUUCUUUUUUUAUUUAGUGGGUGAGGAUAGGGUGGGAUAGGGCCCAUGUGGCCAUGUGUGGGUGUGUCAAAAAUAUGCGGCUCCUAAUGGCGUAGUAAGGUUUGUGGACGGAUAGAGGCUGUGAGAGUGAGUGAAAGGAGACAGAGAAAAUCUGGGCCUUCCCAAAGGCUUCUUGAAAUGGGCUUCAAUUUAAAGAGUUGGGCCGGGUUGGUGUAGUUGAGCCCAACAGGCUUGGCUAUUAAAGGACAAAAAUUUGAAAUACAUAAUUAAAAAGGAAGGGGAAUAAUUCUUCCAUUUUCACCACCAUUAAUUCAUUCACUGCCAUGUAAAACCUUCCAGACUUUGACUUUUUUGUCUGAUAGUUGUUGAUAUGGUUUAUUUGAUUGAUAUAAUUAAUGUAAUCCAAAUAUUAAUUAAGUCAAUGAAAUUGACCAUAUGGGUAACCCCGAAGCAGAGGUUUUUGAUGAAAUUUCAAAUUAUUGAAGAUAUAUUUAAGCAAAAUAUCAGAGGAGGCAGUAAAUUAACCCAUAAUUUAAAAUAAUAUUACUUUCAAAAAAUUUUAGGAGAUUUAAUUGUUAGGUUAUGUUUGAUUUCCAGAAAGUACUAAAGAAAAAAAAUAUAUUAAGGAAAAUUAUUUUCUUCUGUUCGAUUGUAUAGUGAAAAAUAAAAAAGAAAAUAAAAUAUAAUUAAAAUUAGUUAAAAGCUAAUAUAUUUUCAAAUUAUUUAAUCAUUAUAUUGAACUUAUUAAUCUUAAAAUUAUUUUCUAUUUUUUCCCUUUUGUUUGGUUAUUGGGAAGCAUUAAGGAAAAAAAUGCUAAAAGAAAUAUUUUUUUUUCAUGUUUGCUUUCAUCAUGGAAAAUAAGGAAGAAAAUUAAAUGUAAUUAAAAUUAAUUGAAAGUUUUUAUAUUUUUAAAUUAUUUUAUUUUUAGAUAGAAGAGGAAAAAAUAAGUGAAAUAAAUUUUAAAUAGCAAAUAAAUUUUUUAUUUAUUGAUUUUAAAUCUAUUUAUUAUAUUUCUUCACUUUUUUCCUUUUAUAUUUUUCCUCUCUAUUUUAUUUCUCACACAUUUUCUCUCAAAUUUUCCGAGAACUAAUCAUAACCUUCUAUUUUUCCUCUAUUUUUUUCUUUGUAUUUUCUUCAAUUUUAAUGUUAUGUUUGGUUCCUAUAAAUUUUGAGAGAAAAUGCAAGUGAAAGAAAAUAGAAAAAAAAAAAGUAAAAUGAAAUAAAAAAUAAAUGUAAAAUCAAUCUUUUUUUUAUAUUAUUUCAAAUUCAUUUCACUUAUUUUAAUUCAUGAAUAUUAAGAUAAAAUAAUUUGAAAAUGUAUAUUUUUUAAUUAAUUUUAAUAUAUAUAUAUAUAUAUAUAUAGUAUUUUUCAUAGUAUAAUCAAAUAUAAAAAUUCAUUUUUCUCAACAUUUUUUUAAUUUUAUUAUUAUUUUCAAAACAAGACAUAACCUAAAAGAUUACAAGGUAUAAAUUUUAAGUUCUUACUCAAGAAUUUAAGAUAACUUUUUAAUACAUAUAAAAAAAUAUCACAAGUUAGGUGGUGUUCGUGUAUAACUUAAGUGUCUUAUGUUUAUAUUGAAUCUCAUUUAUUAGUACUAGUUAUGUGGUCUCAUAUAUCAAGUCUUGUUCAAUUGUACCAUGAUCCUAUUAUUUUAUAUUUCAGUUUUGACUUCAUUUUUUUUUUUAAUCUUGGUUUUAUUAUUAUUAUUAUUAUGGAAAAUACUCAGGUGAUAUUUAUCAAAGCUCAAAUCUAGACCUUUGAAUAUAUAUAAUGAGAUGUAAGUUAUUAAAUUAAGGUCCAAACAAAUAAAAUUAAAGUACAAAGCUAUGAAUAAACGAAACUAUAAUGCAAAUCAUGAGACUUGCGUGAUAUUUAGUGAUUGAUAGUAAUUUUUCGAUAUCUACCAAAAAAACAAAAGCAUCAAUUCAUCGUUGUAUAGUAGAGGUGACAAUUUGUGUUGAUAGAUCAUGUUUAUGUCGCAUCAAAGUCUAGGUAUUCUACUACAUAACUCAACCUAAACCCGACACGAACAAUAACCGUGCCAGAAACAUAAACCCAAAUAUUAAACCUGUCAUGUAACCCAUUUAAUAAUCAAAUUCUCUUAUUUAAUAAUCAAGUUAAGUCUUACACAAGUUUAUAUGAUUAAUGUUUUAAUCAAACAUGUUUAUAACUUAAUCGACUUAUUUAUUUAAAAUGAGUCAAAUAUGGACUAAAUAAUUUAAAAAUAUGAUGGAGAUAAUAGUGAGACUAUUAGAUAAGUCAAUUUGGGUUAAAUUUGUAUUAUACAGAUUGACCCAAAAAUCACCUAUUUAUUAAAUGAUUUAUGUAAAUUGAUACGAAUUUGAUCUAAAUUCAUUUAUACUCGAUCUAAACUUACAAAAAAUACAUUAGAUUCAUGUCUUAUUUACCAACCAUGUCAAACUUUGUCUCCUUGUUAUAUAGGAAAUGUGCCCUACUUGUAUAAGAUGCCAUAACGGAGCUCAGGAACCUACCAUGUGUUCCACGUCUACGAAGCUUGGACCAUCGGUUUAGUGGACCAUGGACUUCACAUAAAAUAAUUAACAUUACAGUCAGACAAACCCUUUCAUGAUAACUGAAGUACAAAGUAGAGAAUAAAGAAGAUUCCUUUUUAAGCCUUUUUAAAGGAGUUUAAAGCCAGAGCCAGCUUACACCUUUCAAAAAUUUCAAAAUCAUAAUCACCAAGUACGAAGCUUUCUCAAAACGUUCAAAUCACUGAUUCACGGGUUUCGGAUUUUUUUAACUUAUUAUUUAUUUAUUUAUUUUUAUUAUUAUUAUUUUUUAAUUUUAAUUUCUCAAUCAAAAGUCACCCUUAUUGGAGUGGAGUUGGGUGUGCCCCUUUCAAUCAAUCGAUGUUGUCUCUUAUUGAUGGCUUGUGGUUCACGAUCAGUUUAGUGGACCAUGGGUUAUAAAACAUAAUUAACAUUAGAAAAUUAGUUUUAAUGAAAACACUUCUGUUAAAAACAUUUUAAGAAAAAAACGUUUUCAUUGAAAAUAUUUUUAGGCUGAAAAACACUUUUUAAAAUUACUAUUGGAUGUAAUUUUAGUAUUUUAAAGAGGAUUUAUACUAAAAAUUUCACCCAUUUUGAAUUUCAAUCCCUAUAUCAUGAGAAAAGUAGAAUACAAAUUUACGGAAAAAAAAAGUUAUUCAAUUCUUUAAAAUUUUCAUAUUUCCUCCUUAGAUAAAAUUUAUAUUCUACUUCCAAAUAUUCCUGAAGAAUUCAAUACAUAAUUAACACCCUGUUUCAUCAUUAAAAAGAUAUAAUUUUGGUAAGUGUUAAGAAAAAAUCAUCAAUUAAGUAAUAUCACGUGUAUACAUUUGAGUCUUAUGAUUUCAUAUUUUAAUUUUAUAAAUAAGAAAAGUAAUUUUCUUUUAACAUUUUUUUUUUUACUUUCCUUGUCAUAACUUUAAUGAUUACAAAAUGUAUUCCACUCAUGUGUAGAGAGUGUAUUAUAGUGGGGAGUUGAAAUGAAGAGAGAAAAGGAGCCAAGGGUAUGGUUUCCAUUUGACGACAGCAUUAACAAGAACAGAUGGAGUACCAUGAAAGCACCCUGCAACAAGAUAUGACAGAGCCACUGAUGCAGCAAGAUGAGAAGGGGAACAUCUCCUUUGAAGAGGAUGAUGAUCUCACGCCAAGAAACACCAGCCAGAAUGGGUCUCUGGGAGUUGUAUGGCUCAGCACAACAGUUGCAGUCUGGGGCUCUUUUCAGUUUGGAUGUUGUGUGAGUAGAGCUUCAAAAAACCAGUCGUCUUCACCAGAAAUAAAAGACUCAAAAAGUCAAUGAGUUGACACUGUCAAUAUUAAUAUUUGCUGGAGGGGUUUUGCCCCUUAAUUAUACCACUUUGUUCUAGGCAGUACUUCUCUCAUUUCCUCUGUAGAUCACCUGGAAACUGACUUAUAUUCAGUUGGGUUGGAUUCUGAUGUUUGAUGUAGGUAGCUGAACUUGCAGGUGCACUACUCAUCUCCCACUCAGACAGCUAUCAGGAAGGAUCUCAAUCUUUCACUAGCUGAGGUUUGGUCAAUUUUUUUUUUCUCAACUAAAAUUUAUCUGUUAUGCCUCUGUUUAUCUACUUCUCCAACAAUUAUCAUUCUUCAUCAAUCAAAAAAAGAUUUGCGUUAAAUUUUAGGCAGUAGAGCUUCAAAGAGACUACUGUAAAGAACCCAAAACAUUUGCAGUACUCCAUAUGGACUACUGAAUAAUCUGUUGAAAACUCCAUCAAGGAAUUCAAUUUCCAUAGCCAAAAUUUUGAUGUCCUCUGUGUCUGUGCAGUACUCAGUAUUUGCUUCCAUAUUGGCAAUUGGGGCGAUGAUUGGGGGGAUUACAAGCGGGCAUAUCUCCAAUUUCAUUGGAAGGAAAGGGGUAAGCUACAAAUGGGAAACUCGCAUGAUAUUCACAGGUCAAGUAGUACAUAUAGCCACAUCUUCAAAACUGACCAACAUGGUUUUUCUAUGGAAUGGAAGCAGACAAUGAGAGUGGCUGCUAUUUUCUGCAUUAUAGGGUGGCUUGCCAUUGGUUUUGCUGAGGUCUGUAUCAAUUGUACACACUUCUAGGAUCUUCAGUGCCUAAAUAUCAGCUGCUUAUAUGAAUGAAGUAAUUUUUAUCUCUUAAGGGUGUUCUGUUGCUUGACAUUGGAAGAAUGUGCACAGGAUAUGGAAUUGGAGUAUUUUCUUAUGUGGUAUGCAUUUCUUUCCACACACACACACAAAACCCUGUUCAUGGAUUUCCAUUAAAAUAGCAUGAAUCCCACAUCUUAUGAUAAACUUUGAAAUAUAUAUAAUGAGGGAGAAGGUACCAGUGUUCAUUGCUGAAAUAGCACCCAAGGAUCUUCGUGGAGGAUUCACAUCAUCGAAUGAGGUAGGUGAGCUGCAAAUAAUGAGCAACAAGAUUGUUAAUGAUGUAUACUUUCUGCUUACUUUUUUCGGUUUUUCCACAGCUCAUGAUUCAAGUUGGGGGAUCCAUCACUUACCUGCUAGGGACGGUUCUAACAUGGAGAAUGCUCGCUUUAGUUGGUACAUCUAUCAUUUUUCAUUCGUUUGCAUAAUACCAAAUCUGUUAUGUAAUACAACAUAUAGUGAUUGAGUACGAAAAUGGCAAGGACUGAUUGAUGGAUGAUCUUUGUAUGAAGGCCUGAUUCCCUCCCUUAUGCUGAUCUUGGGAAUGUUUUUUGUCCCGGAGUCUCCAAGAUGGCUGGUAAGCUAUAGAAAUAGGAACAAAUCUCUUCACUAGUAUUCAACAGGGAAGAAGAGUUAGGAUAUGUGAGAAAACUAUGUGUUUCAGGUGAUGGUUGGACAACAGAGAGAAUUCGAAGCUUCAUUGCAGAGGCUGCGCGGAAAGGACGCUGAUAUUUCCUUCGAGGCUUCUGAAAUCCAAGUUGUUACUUUUAAUUUUUUGAAAAUGUAAAUAGCCUUUGGGAUGAGGAAGAUGACUGAUGUUCUUGGUUUCCAGGAAUAUACAGAAAAGCUUCAACAGAUGCCUAAAAUUAGGCUCCUGGAUUUGUUCCAAAAAAGAUACCUGCACUCGGUCAUAGUGAGCAUUUUUCCUUCCCAUUACCCAGCUGACUCUACUAGAAGCUAUAUAGCAUAACGCUUAUGUCUUUUUUUGGCUUAACCUUUUCUUGUCGUCAUCCCUGCACAUGACUUUGUUUUGAUGUUCAGAUAGGAGUCGGAUUGAUGUUGUUCAAACAAUUUGGGGGAAUCAGUGCGAUCGGCUCUUAUGCAAGUGCGACUCUUGAAUUAGCAGGUACCCAAAGAAAAGCAGCUUACUGACCAUGACCAGGUACCAAAAAUUUUCCAUGAAUUUCUGUUACAAGUCUAAUCUUCUCCCUAAGCUUGUGGUUUCAGGAUUUUCUUCAGGAAAAUUUGGGACAAUAGUCAUUGGUUUGUGUCAGGUAUUCAACAAUUUUUCACAGUGGUUGCAUUUUGAAGAUCAUUUUGUAUAGACUCAUUGUGGUUGAAACCUGACACAGAUUCCAGUGACUAUCAUAGCUGUGGCACUAAUGGAUAGAUGUGGAAGAAGACCUCUUCUAUUGGUGAGGGGCCUAGUCAUAAUCCAUAAACUUGGAGCUUGGGAACAACAACUUGGAAGUUUCAGAAACAAGGAAAUUGUUUUGUUGUGAUUCAGGUAUCUUCAGUGGGGACAUUCUUGGGCACCUUUCUGAUUGGACUUGCAUUCUAUUUGAAGGUAACCAACCCUCUACCUAUACCCCCAAAAAGUUGAGCCAGUUCUUCUUCUACUAUCCCCAUAAUCUCCAUUAAUGCCGCAGGAUCAUGAGCUAGUACUAAAGUUGAUCCCCAUGAUGGUCCUAGCUGGUGUACUGGUGAGGAGAUUUUGAAAUCAAACCAUGAAUACAAUUAUUUCAAUUAUUUUUGAGGAUCUGAUUUGAUUCCUGAAAUCAGAUCUACUUUUGGUCUUUUGCAUCGGGGAUAGGAUCUGCUUCCUGGGUUAUUAUGUCCGAGGUAAUGGACUACUGAUGUAGACACAUUUGAAAGCAUUCCCAUGACAAUUGCUUCAAUUGCAGAUAUUCCCCCUAAACGUAAAGGGAGCAGCUGGAAGCUUAGCCAUAUGGGCAAACUGGUUUGGUUCUUGGACUGUUUCCUACACUUUCAACUAUCUCAUAAGCUGGAGUAGCUCGGGUAAUAACAUGCAUACUAACAUUUAGAUUGCCAGUUUGCCACCAAGGUAGUAUGUUGAUAUUAAGUGAUGGAAUGAGAGGAAUGUUUCAGGUGCCUUCUUCCUGUAUUCUGCUGUCUCUGCUGCAGCAAUUUUGUUUGUGGCAAAGCUAGUACCAGAAACUAGAAGACGGACCCUGGAAGAAAUUCAAGCUCACAUGCUCUUCUCCAACUCCCACUCCUAAAGCCUCCAUAGAAAAACUUCAAUUGCUGUUGGGAUAGCCCAACAUUUAAACCUGUUUCAAAGCUCUGGUGUGUAAAGGGCUCAACUUCAAAGUAGACAUAUGAAGUGAACAAAAUGUUUUUAAGAACACAGUUGUUUAAUGUAGCACGAAGGUCUAGACGAGCUGGCCUUGGGCUCUCUUGGUUGAGGUUUGGGUCACCCUAGAUAGAUUCAAGCAGGCCUUUAUGUCUGGCUGCGACCGGGUUGAGAAUUAGUCUAAGCCUAAUUCUUUAAUUUUUAUAAAUAAAAAUAAAAUAAAAUAAUUUGCAUGCCCAUGUAGAAAUCAUAUUUAGGAAAAUCCAUUGUAACGCGACCAAGAAGAAAGCAGACUUGGUGAAAUGGACUUGAAGAAGGGGAUGAACCUCCUAUGGCCAAGGCAUGGCCAAGGCAAAAACAAAUUUCUUAGAGCCUGUUUAGUUAAUAAAAAAUAAAAAAUAAAGAAAAAAGAAAGAAAGAAAAGAAGGGAAAACACAUCCCCAUAAAUCAUAAAACAAUUUUUUAUUUUUAAAAAUAGAAAACACGAUGUUUUGACAACAUUUUUUUAGUUGUUUUCAAUUAUUUUCACUUAUUUAUCUAGGAUUAUUUUAAAAAAUAAUUAUAAAAAUAUGGAGAAUGAUUAAAAAAACACUAUAUAUAAAAGUCACUUUUAAAAUAUAUUUAAAAAUAUAGAAAACUUAUCUAGCAUUUUAAGUCUCAAUAGACAUUUAUUUUACAAAACAUCAUAGAAUAUUCUUCAAUAAUUAUUCUAAAAAAUUGUUUUUCAAAAUUAAUUUAAAAAACAAUUGCCAAAUAAAACCUUAUAUUUUUUAUGAUUUGAUUUUUAAACAAAAAAAAAAUGGCAUAACACCCGACAUUGUUAUAUAAUAUGAUAUCAUCCUCAAAGGUUCAUAAAAUGAUAAGAUUGAAGUUAUAAGCUUAACCAUUGAUUAUGAAUAUGGGAUGAAGGAUGAUAAUGAUUAAGUAGUAAACAAAACAAACAAAGACGGAUAGAUUGACGAUCUUUGUCAAUGUUUGGUUCUCAAAAAAUAUGAGAGAAAAUGCGAGGGAAAUAAAAUAUAGAGAAAAAGUAAAUAAAAUAUAAAAAAUUAAUUUAAAAUUAAUAAAUUAUUUUAUAUGUUACUUCAAACUUAUUACACUUAUUUUCCUCUUUUAUGUAAAAAUUAGGGUUAUGUAUAGUUCCUGGAAAAUUUGAGAGAAAAUAGAAAGAAAACAAAACAAAAAGGAAAAUUAGAAGGAAAGAAAAAGUGAAAAAUACUUUUAAGAUAAAAAUGAGUUUGAAGAAAAUAAUUUAUUAAGUUUAAACUCUUUUUUUUUUUUAAUUUUUCUUCACUUUUUAUUUUCUUCUAUUUUUUUUUUAUCUCUAUCUUGUUUCCUUCACAUUUUCCCUUAAAUUUUCCAAGAACCAAACAUAUUGUCAUAAGGUAAGUUACAAUAUUGACUUGAUACUUAGUAAAAGUGCAUCAAUCACAUCAUAUCAUGUAUAUAAUUUAUACAAUUUAUAGUUGGUUUGAAAACAUUUUUAUACAACACUUAGGCCAUAUUUGGUUCCCAUAAAGUACUAAGAAAAAAAAAAAUAGUUUUAUCAUAUUUGGUUUAACCAUGGAAAAAACAAAAGAAAUUCAAAUAUAAUUAAAAUUUGUAAAUAUAUAUAUAUAUAUAUAUAUAUAUAUAUAUAUAUAUAUAUAUAUAUAUAUAAGUAAAAUGAGUUUGAAAAGAUGUAUAAAAAUAAUUUAUUAAGUUUAAAUCUAUUUUUUAUUUUCUUUCCUUCCGCUUUUUCUCCUUUUGUUCUUCCUUGUGUUUCCCAUAAAAUUUUCCAUGAACCAAAUAUAACCUUAUAAUAUAUAAAUAAUUUUUGAAGAAAAAUAAUAUAUUUAAAAAUUUAUAAAACACUUUUUAAAUUUUGAAAAUUCACAUAUACUAUUUCUUGAAAUAGGUGAUUCUUAAAAAAAGAAAGAAAACAUUUAUAAAAAAAAUAUUUUAACCAAAAAUAGAUUUGUACUCUUCCAUUUAGCAGUGCUUUUAAAUAAUACUUCUAAGAUGAAAAAUAUUUUUUUUUAAAAAAUAAGAUGUUUGGUAACGUUUAGAAAGCAAUUACGAAAAGUAGAAAAAUUAAUUAUGGUGGAUGACCUUGGCAAAAGCACUUUAAAGAAAGCAAUUCAGUUAAAAAUAUAUUAAAUAUAAAUAAUUUCAAAUGCAUUCUAAGGUGAUAUUUGUUUUUUUUUUUUUAACUUAAUGUUGAAUAGUUUACCUUCAAACUUUAUAUUGUUUACUUUUAAUAUUUUUUCUUAUUUAUUAUUUAUUUUUUCUAAAUAUUGAAUGAAUGAAAAAAAAAUCAAAAUAUUUGACAUUUUAUUAAAUACUAAAAAUAAUUUUUAAAAUAAUUAAAACAUAAUCUAAAUACAUAUCUCACCCUAUUAAUACUUAAUAUUUAAAAUAAAAUAUAAUAAUAAUAAUAAUAAAACAAGAACUAUUUCAGAACAGGUUAGAAGUAGCAAUGGUUGGUCGAAACACUUAUUUUUACACUAUUUCAGAAACCCAAAGACUCGAUAUAUGGAUGCAUGGAUACGUAAGAUACGAUAUUUCCGAUCCUACUAUGAAAAUGUAGGGAUUAAAAUACUCAAUAAUGAAAAGUGUGUAAAUUAAUUUUCCUCCAUAAUUUUUUAUAUAUAGUUUUACAGUAAAACAAAUCAGUUUUUAAUCUUUCAUAUGGGAUAAUGAAAGAAAGAAAACCUUAAUCAUUACAAAAUGUAUUGGAGGGGGAAGUUACAAGGACAGGGAGAAUGAGCCAAGGAAAUGGGCAGUCCAUAAUUCCAUUUGACAAGAACAGAUGAAGUACCGCGAAAGCACCCUGCAACACGAUACACUACAGAGCCACUGAUCCAGCAAGAUAAGAAGGGAAACAUCACCUCUAAAGAGGAUGACGAUUUCAAGCCAAGAACUCAAGGGGAAUUUUGAGUGAAAAUGGCCCAUUUGACCAAAAAAACAAUAUAUAUUUUAGGUUCAUUUUACAACUUAUAUUCAAGGUGGUUUGUUUCUCAUCACAUGAGAGAGUGUUUGACGAUUUGAAGCCAAGAACCCAGUCAAAAAGAGGAAUUUUGGGUGAAAAUGGCCGAUUUCGCCAAAUAUAUAUAUAUAUUUUGGGCUCAUUUUAAAAUUUAUAUUUAAAGUGUAUUUGGUAAUGAUUUUAAGAAGUGUUUAUAUCAUUCUAAUACUUAAAAAAAAUUUAUUUUUCAAAUAUUAUAAAUACUUUUUAAAAUUAUUAUCAAACGCACUUUUUAUGUGAUUUCUUUUUCAUCACGUGACUAUUACAUCAUCUUCCUAUAAAAAUAAAACCACAUACCAUUUCAAAUUAAGAAUUUCAAUGAAAAAGGAAAUUUUGAGUGAAAAUGACCUAUUUGAUAAAUAAAUAAAUAAACACUUUAAGCUUUUUUUAAAGUUUAUAUUCAAUAUGAUUUAUUUCUCAUCCCGUGUGAGCGUCUCAUCAUCCUCCUGCAAAAACAAAAUCUCAAUUUAUAAUUGAGGUUUUCAGUUAAAAAAUAAAAUUUCAAUUCACAAUUGCAACUUUAAUUUAAAUUUAAAAAAAUAUAUCUUUUUAAUAAUAUAGGAGUCAUACGAUGAUUUUAAAUAUAAAUUUAAUAAAAUAAUUAAAUUUAAUUUCUUUUCGUAAAAAGAGUAUUUUGAUCGAAAACUCGAAAAAGGGUAUAGCAGGUGUCAUCAUCGUGAUUGUAGAAUGCUCCAUGGAUACAAUGGAGCGUGGACUCACGCAACCCUUUCAUGAUAACCCAAGAAAUAUAAAAUAAAGAAGGAAAGAGAGAGGAUGCCUUUAUAAGCUUUAUUUAAAUAAGUUAAAAACCAAAGUUUGCUUCAUUUUUAAAAAAUUUCAAAUUCAUCAUCACCACCUAUAAUUUAAGCUUUCUCAAAACGUCCAAAUCAUAUUUAGGUUUGAAUUUUAUUAUUAAUUUUUAUUUCUAAAUCAAAAUUCUCGAUUUAUCAAUUUUUUUUGCAUUUAUUUAAUAUUUUUAAAUGAAGGGAAAAAAUGAUUCAAUUUUUUAAAACAAUUUCUAAAUUUUCUUUGUUAUGUUUUUAUAAGUUCAAAACUCUGAACUUAUUAAAACCAACAUUUUGCUCCUAAUCACAAACUCUUCAUAAAAUUAUAAAAUUGUAUUGCUUUUUUUCAUGCUUUAUUUUGAAAACCAGUUUAAACAUGGAUAGAACUAACUUUGAGUUAACAACUUUCAAGUAGAAUUUUCUAAAUAUCUUCAAAAUAUAGUUUUUACCAAUUUUAAUUUUUAAUUUAAAAUAGAUAUUUGUAUGACUAUUUGUGAUUUAUGCAUGUUGUUACAUAACUUUAAACUUAGUUAAUAGAUAUUUUUUUGUUGCAUUUCAAUUUUGUUUCUUCACUUAACAACUUAUUCAUUGACUUUAGAGCCAAAGUGUUGACUUUUAAAUGUGAGGAAGCAAAAUGUAAAACAAGCCAAAUAUGGAAGGAAUAAAGCCUAUUUAAUCCUAAUAAAAAAUAAAAUUUAUUUUCUUUAUAAAUUUGUAUUUAUUUUUAAUCAUUUUUUUUUUCAAUUUUACGAAUUUGAAUUGCAUAAGUUUCAUUAUACAUUAUUGUCAUAAAUCUUCAUAAUGACAAAAUUUUCAUGGGUUAUAAUUCUUAAUAAUCUAUGGCCAUAUUUUCAAAUGAUUAGAGCAAACAUUUAUUAGAAGAAAAUUAUUUAAUUAUUAAAAAUGGUCUAAUUGAUAUAUUAAAAAGAAUUCAUGUUAGAUUAAGAUAAUGGUUUGAUGAAAAAAAACGAAAAUAUUAAAAAUUAUUUGGGAAAGCUAUUCCUAAACUUUUGUUAAUCUUUACAUGUUAUGUCAAUACAAAAAUAUAUUUUAAAUAAAUUUAUUUGAAUAAUAAUAAAUAAAAAAAGUAGUUUUCACAUCUCUUGUGCAAAAGAAUAACAUUUAACAAUAAUAAAAAUUAUUUCAAUGUGAACAAACAUAUUUGUAUAGGUUGAAAACAUAAAUUUUUAGUAAUAAAAUAUUAUCAUUUAAAAAAAAUGGAAAACAUAAUUUAACUAAUUUUUUAUAUCAAUUGAAAAGGUGUUACCAUUAGAAUUGGAUAGUAUCAUGUAUAUAUAUAACUGAGAUCUAAUAUGUUUAUACCCUGAGUCAUGACGCAUGUCACGAUUGGCCACUAUCCUUGUCAUAAUCUAUGCAACGACAUGUGACACAUAUCAUGAUGCGUACUACAACCUAUGUCAUGAUGCGUGAUGCAUGUCAUGACUAUUUCAUUAUUUUGUUACGUAAUUUAAUUUUAUUGGACUUUGACCUCAUCCGAUCGAUUAUACAUAUCCUUUGUAUUUUGAUCUUAUUCAUUUAUAUUGUAGUAUCCAACGAUUGAGAUUUAUCGCACAAUGGAUAGUCAUACCUUAAUAUUUUCCUAAUCUUUAUACCUUAAUAAUUUACUCAUGGGUUUGAAACCCGUGGAGCCACUAUGAAUUUUCAUGUUGCUUGGAGUUUGGUGUUACCCUCCUCUAUAAUUCAAUGUUGUUUCUUAUUGUAGUCAUUGGGUGAGAAUAAGUUUUGUGGACCAUGGACUUAUGAAAAAUUAAUUGACAAUAGACAAAAACAACCCUCUCAUAACUAGGGUUUUGGGCUUUUUCUUUAUGAUUCCUCGAUCGAAAUUCACAAUUUAUGAAUUUUAUGCAUUUAUUUGAUAUUUUUAAGAGGAUUUGAACUAAAAAAAUUCACCCAUUUUGUACUUCAAUCCCUUAAUCACAAGAUAAGUAAAAGAUUUCAUUAUGAUGCCUUCCAUGUUAUGCCAAUACAAAAAAUAUCUUUUCAAAAAAAAAAUUUAUUUGAAUAAAAAAAAUUAUGCACUUCUUUUGUACAAAAGAAUUACAUUUAACAAUAAUAAUUUUUUUUAACUCCAACCAUUUUUAUACAUAAAAUCACUAAAAUUAAAUGAAAUUUCAUCGAUUAGACAAACAUUUAUACAUUUAAAAAUAAUAAUCUAAUUUUUUAAAUAAACAAAAAGCUAAAAAUUCCAAAUUUUGAAAAGAAUUCUAUGACAAAGGCUUGAUUAUAUUAUUGAAAGAUAUAUAUUUUUUAUAUAAAUAUAAAAAAGAAAUCAUCAAUCAGAUUAAGGAUCGAAACCAAGCUUAUAAUCCCUUGAACUUGAAAAUAGGUUUCAACUAUCCAUCGUUGACCAGAUUUGGAAGCACUUUCUAAAUGCCCUCCUAACCAAGAGAUCCUGGUUUCCUUUGCAAGAUAAGACCUCCUGGGGGAUGAACCAUUAUCCGAGGCAUGGUCUCAUUAGCUCUGUUGCAAAACUUGCUUUUUAGGCAACCAUAUAUAUAUAUAUAUAUAUAUAUAUAUUGUAAAACGUAUACAUGUUGAAUAAUUUUGAGUUGGUGGCCAUCCAUGAAUUACUAGCAUGACCCUAACGUAAACAUGUUGUAUAAUUUUGGGUUGGUGGCCAUCCAUGAAUUAGCAUGACCCACCUCACCAUAAACUUGAGUAAUGCUUCAUCAUCUUUUUCCUCCUUUUAAUCACAACAGAAUCCAUUCCACUGAAGUGUAUACAGUGUAUUACAGUGAGAUUUACAAGAACAGGGAGAAUGAGCCAUUGGAAAGGCCAGCUUUCAGUGUUGUCCAUAAUGAUUUCCACUUGACUAAAUCAUUUACAAGAACAGAUGGAGUACCAUGAAAGCACCCGGCAACAAGAUAUGACAGAGCCACUCAUCCGGCAAGAUGAGAAGGGGAGCAUCAUCUCUGAAGAGGAUGAUGAUCUCAAGCCAGAAAACCCCAGCCAGAAAGGGUCUCCGGGAGUUGAAUGGCUCAGCACAGCUAUUGCAGUCUGGGGCUCUUUUCAGUUUGGAUGCUGUGUAAGUACUGAGUAGAGCUUCUAAAAACCAGUCAUCUUCUCCAGACAAAAGAAAAAAAAAAAAGAACCCAGAAAGUCUAUGAGUUUGACUCUGAAAAUGGAGGAAAAUGGGUACCAUGAAACCCUCUGGAAUAUCCAAUUAGUAAUAUUGCUGGAGGGGUUUAGGCAGGACUUCCACUGAUUUUCUCUGUAGAUCACCUGGAAAUUAACUGACUUUUAUUCAGUGUGGUUGGAUUCUGAUGUUUGAUGUAGGUAGUUGAACUUGCAGGUGCACUACACAUCCCCUACUCAGACAGCUAUCAGGAAGGAUCUCAAUCUUUCACUAGCAGAGGUUGGGCCAGUUUUUUUUUUUUUCUCAACCAAAUUUUAGCUUUCAUGCCUCUGUUGAUCUCCAACAAUUAUCAUUCUUCAUCAAUUAAAAAAAAAAAUAUGUGUUAAAUUUUAGGCAGUAGAGCUUCAAAGAGACUACAGUAAAGAACCUAAAGCAGUUGCAGUACUCCAUAUGGACUGCAGAAUAAUCAGUUGAAAACUCCCUCAAGAAAUUCAAUUUCCAUAGCCAAAAUUUGAUAUCCUCUGUGUCUGUGCAGUACUCAGUAUUUGCUUCCGUAUUGGCAAUUGGGGCAAUGAUUGGGGGGCUUACAAGCGGGCAUAUCUCCGAUCUCAUUGGAAGGAAAGGGGUAAGCUACAAAUGGGAAAUUCACAUGACAUUCACAGGUCAAGUAGUACAUAUAGCCACAUCUUCAAAACUGACCAACAUUGUUUUUCUAUGGAAUGGAAGCAGACAAUGAGAGUGGCUGCUGCUUUCUGCAUUGUAGGGUGGCUUGCCAUUGGUUUUACUGAGGUCUGUAUCAAUUGUAUACACUUCUAGGAUCUUCAGUGUCUAAAUAUCAGCUGCUUAUAUGAAUGAAGUCAUUUUUAUCUCUUAAGGGUGUUCUGUUGCUCGACCUUGGAAGAAUGUGCACAGGAUAUGGAAUUGGAAUAUUUUCUUAUGUGGUAUGCAUUUCUUUCUCCACACACACAAAAAACCCUGUUCAUGGAUUUCCAUUAAAAUGGUAUGAAUUCCACAUCUUAUGAUAAACUUUGACAAAAAAAUAUAUCUAUAAUGAGGGAGAAGGUACCAGUGUUCAUUGCUGAAAUAGCACCCAAGGAUCUUCGUGGAGGAUUCACAUCAUUGAAUGAGGUAGGUGAGCUGCAAAUAAUGAGCGACAAGAUUGUUAAUGAUGCAUACUUUCUGCUUACCUUUUUCGGUUUUUCCACAGCUCAUGAUUCAAGUUGGGGGAUCCAUCACUUACCUGCUAGGGACGGUUCUAACAUGGAGAAUGCUCGCUUUAGUUGGUACAUCUAUCAUUUUUCAUUCGUUUGCAUAAUACCAAGUCUGUUAUGUAAUACAACAUAUAGUGAUUGAGUACGAAAAUGGCAAGGACUGAUUGAUGGAUGAUCUUUGUAUGAAGGCCUGAUUCCCUCCCUUAUGCUGAUCUUAGGAAUGUUUUUUGUCCCUGAGUCUCCAAGAUGGCUGGUAAGAUAUAGAAAUAGGAACAAAUCUCUUCACUAGUAUUCAACAGGGAAGAAGAGUUAGGAUAUGUGAGAAAACUAUGUGUUUCAGGUGAUGGUUGGACAACAGAGAGAAUUCGAAGCUUCAUUGCAGAGGCUGCGCGGAAAGGACGCUGAUAUUUCCUUCGAGGCUUCUGAAAUCCAAGUUGUUAAUUUUAAUUUUUUGAAAAUGUAAAUAGCUUUUGGGAUGAGGAAGAUGACUGAUGUUCUUGGUUUCCAGGAAUAUACAGAAAAGCUUCAACAGAUGCCUCAAAUUAGGAUCCUGGAUUUGUUCCAAAAAAGAUACCUGCACUCGGUCAUAGUGAGCAUUUUUCCUUUUCAUUACUCAGGACUUUACUUGAAGCUAUGGAGCAUAAUGCUUAUUUCUUUUCUUGAUUAACCUUUUCUUGUCGCCAUCCCUGCACAUGACUUUGGUUUGAAGUUCAGAUAGGAGUCGGAUUGAUGUUGUUCAAACAAUUUGGGGGAAUGAGUGCCAUCGGCUCUUAUGCAAGUGCGACUCUUGAAUUAGCAGGUACUCAAAGAAAAGCAGCUUACUGACCAUUACCAUGUACCAAAGAUUUUCCAUGAAUUUCGGUUACAAGUCUAAUCUUCUCCCUAAACUUGUGGUUUCAGGAUUUUCUUCAGGAAAAUUUGGGACAAUAGUCAUUGGUUUGUGUCAGGUAUUCAACAAUUUUUCACAGUGGUUGCAUUUUGAAGAUCAUUUUGUAUAGACUCAUUGCGGUUGAAACCAUGACACAGAUUCCAGUGACUACCAUAGCUGUGGCACUAAUGGAUAGAUGUGGAAGAAGACCUCUUCUAUUGGUGAGUGGCCUAGUCAUAAUCCAUAAACUUGGAGCUUGGGAAGAACAACUUGGAAGUUUCAGAAACAAGGAAACUGUUUUGUUGUGAUUCAGGUAUCUUCAGUGGGGACAUUCUUGGGCACCUUUCUGAUUGGACUUGCAUUCUAUUUGAAGGUAACCAACCCUCCACCUAUACCCCCAAAAAGUUGAACCAGUUCUUCUACUAUCCCCAUAAUCCCCAUUAAUGCCGCAGGAUCAUGAGCUAGUACUAAAGUUGAUCCCCAUGAUGGUCCUAGCUGGUGUACUGGUAAGGAGAUUUUGAAAUUAAACCAAGAACACAAUUAUUUCAAUUAUUUUUUAGGAUCUAACUUGAUUCCUGAAAUCAGAUCUACUUAUGGUCUUUGGCAUCAGGGAUAGGAUCUGCUUCCUGGGUUAUUAUGUCCGAGGUAAUGGACUACUCAUGUGGACACGUUUUAAAGCAUUCCUGUUGAAUUUUGACUUAGUAUUUGCUAGAAUUUGAAUUUUGAAUAUUGCAGCUGGAGUCUUGCACAAAAUCUGCAACAUCUAGAUAUUUUCUUAUUUUUAUUUGGUCAAGAUUUGGUUUCUAUUUUAUAGGAAGUAGUUGUUCAUCAUCUAGUAGCUUGAUUUUCUGCUAUUCUAAUGUCAUUUAAGUUACAAGUUCAUGUAUAAAUUCAGCAUUCUUCAUCAAUAAAAUUAUAAGUUCCAGCAGCCCAAACAUAUAUUUUUUGUAUAAGUAUUUAAUCUUAUACCAACAAAGUGGUAUCAGAGCCAUAGUUAUCUUGAGGGGCCAGUGAGGUGAGUGAACCCAAACACCUUCUAAAAUCAUUUAGCAAUGGAAGAGUCAAGUCUCACAGUUGCACCAUCAGUUCUUGAUGGAGACAAUUAUGAAACUUGGGCUGUUAGAAUGACAGUUCAUCUACAAGCACUUGAUGUUUGGGAAGCAGUGGAAGAAAAUUAUGAAGUUCCUCCCCUAGGAGCCAAUCCAACUGUGGCUCAAAUGAAGUUGCAUAAAGAAAGAAGGACAAGAAAGGCUAAAGCGAAAGCUUGCUUGUUUGCUGCAGUUUCACCAUCAAUUUUCAUCAAAAUCAUGAAAAUUGAUUCAGCUGCAGAAAUUUGGGAGUAUCUCAAGGAGGAAUACAAAGGAGAUGAAAGAAUCAAGAACAUGCAGGUGAUGAACUUGAUUCGAGAAUUUGAAAUGAAGAAAAUGAGGGAGUCUGAUGCUGUUAAAGACUAUGCUGCACAACUUCUUUCAAUAGCAGACAAAGUUAGGCUGCUUGGAAAAGAAUUUUCCAAUGAGAAGAUUGUUCAAAAGAUAUUGGUUACACUUCCUGAGAAAUAUGAAGCUACAAUUUCCUCUUUGGAGAAUUCAAAAGAUCUGUCAACUAUUAGCUUGACAGAAUUAUUACAUUCCUUGGAGGCUGUGGAACAAAGAAGACUCAUGAGACAAGGAGAUACUGCAGAAGGAGCAUUUCAAGCAAGAAUGCAGAAAAAUGCAUGCCAUAAAAAUGGAAAGGUGAACAACAACAAGUCGUGUGGCAACAACCAGAAAAAUGGAGUUUUUCCACCUUGUCCUCAUUGCAAGAAGACAAAUCAUUCUCCACAAAAAUGUUGGUGGAGACCAGAUGUGAAAUGCAACAAGUGUGGUAAACAAGGACAUGUGGAGAGGAUUUGCAAAAAUCAACAGCAGGAAGAAACUAAUGCAGUAGUUGACUAUUGUCAGGAGGAGCAAUUGUUUGCAGCAACGUGUUUUGCUAAUAAAAGCACCUCUAAAAGCUGGCUUGUGGAUAGUGGUUGUACAAACCACAUGACAAAUAAUCAAGAUCUCUUUAGAGAACUUGAUAGAACAACUAUUUCCAAAGUCAGAAUUGGAAAUGGUGAGUAUAUUCCAGUGAAGGGCAAAGGAACGGUUGCUAUCGAAAGCCAAACAGGUUUGAAACUCAUUUAUGAUGUUUUGUUUGUGCCUGACAUUGACCAAAACUUACUCAGUGUUGGACAGCUCGUUGAGAAAGAAUUUAAAGUUUAUUUUGAAGAUAGGAAUUGCAUUAUCAAAGAUGCUGAAGGCAAAGAGGUGUUCAACAUAAAAAUGAAGGGCAAGAGUUUUGCCUUGAAUUUACUGGAAGAUGAGCAUACUGCUAUUUUACAACAAGAUAGCACAACAAUGUUUUGGGACAGAAGGGUCGAGCACUUUCAUCAUGAUGAUGUGCUCUACAUGAAGAAAAAUCAAAUAGUUGAAGGACUUCCUGACUUAGAAAAAGAUCUUCCUAUAUGUGCUACUUGUCAAUAUGGGAAGCAAACUAAACUUCCCUUUCCAAAGAAAAUAUCCUGGAGAGCAACCCAAAAACUGCAACUGGUGCAUACUGAUGUAGGUGGAUCUCAAAAGAUGCCAUCCUUGAAAUUGAAUGCAAACAAUGUUCACCAGCUCACUGCACCAUAUAAUCCACAACAAAAUGGAGCAGUAUAUUUUCUGAACAUAUUGCCAACAAAAGUGUUAAAGAAGCAGACCCCUUUCGAAGUUUGGUUUGAGUGUCUACGUGCAAGACUUGGAGUUUGCAUCUACGAAGUCAAGGAGGAGUGUUGAAUUUUGACUUAGUAUUUGCUAGAAUUUGAAUUUUGAAUAUUGCAGCUGGAGUCUUGCACAAAAUCUGCAACAUCUAGAUAUUUUCUUAUUUUUAUUUGGUCAAGAUUUGGUUUCUAUUUUAUAGGAAGUAGUUGUUCAUCAUCUAGUAGCUUGAUUUUCUGCUAUUCUAAUGUCAUUUAAGUUACAAGUUCAUGUAUAAAUUCAGCAUUCUUCAUCAAUAAAAUUAUAAGUUCCAGCAGCCCAAACAUAUAUUUUUUGUAUAAGUAUUUAAUCUUAUACCAACAAUUCCCAUGACAAUUGCUUCAAUUGCAGAUAUUCCCCCUAAACGUAAAGGGUGCAGCUGGAAGCUUAGCCAUAUGGGCAAACUGGUUUGGUUCUUGGGCUGUUUCCUACACUUUCAACUAUCUCAUAAGCUGGAGUAGCUCGGGUAAUAACAUGCAUACUAACAUUUAGAUUGACAGUUUGCCACCAAUGGUAAUAUGUUGAUAUUAAGUGAUGGAAUGAGAGGAAUGUUUCAGGUACCUUCUUCCUGUAUUCUGCUGUCUCUGCUGCAGCAAUUUUGUUUGUGGCAAAGCUAGUACCAGAAACUAGAAGACGGACCCUGGAAGAAAUACAAGCUCACAUGCUCUUCUCCAACUCCCACUCCUAAAGCCUCCAUAGAUAUAAACUUCAAUUGUUGUUCUUUAAAACUGUUUCAAAGCUCUGGUGUGUAAAGGGCUCAACUUCAAAGUAGACACAUGAUAUUAAUAUACCGUACCUGUUUUAUCUUAAAAAUUGAAAACAGGGAGUGAACAAAACAUUUCUAAGUAUACUAUUUGUUAGGACAAUUGGUCAAGUAUAUUAUAUAUGGACAAUUUUGUUCCAAUUUAUUUUCCAGGAAACUUUUUAGAUAGUGAAUUACUCUCCAGUGAAGAUCCAAGGCUACCGUUGAUUCAAUCGAAAAGUUUCGGAUAAGUGAAAAAUGUAUGGUUGGUGAUAAGUUAGGUGAUUAAAGAGUUAAAAGUGGAUUGGUAUCUUUUUUAUUAUUUAAAAUACAUAAAUUAAUGUUUUGGAAAAACAAGAUGCUCGAACGGUGAAAGCAAUGCCCAAGCACUCAUGCAACGUUCAAGUGUCCAAAGCACCCUAUUAGUGAGUGCACUCAAACACUCAUCCAAAUCUAUCAAAAUAUGGUAGAAUUUUUUUGGAAAUUCACGAAUAUUGUAUUUAGAAAAUUCAGAAUACCAAUUUCUUAGGGUGUCUAUAUAAACUCUUCUUUAACCCUUUUAGGGUUGAAAACUUACAAAGAGGUUUAGCCUAACUUGUCCUACCAUUCUCAAUCUCACAUGGAGGAUUCAAAUAUUGAAUCUUGGGUUGUAAAAAAUACCAGCAUCUCUCCAAUAAAGUUGAAGAAAUUUCACUAGAACAAUUGGGGAUUAUUGCAUUACAAACAUGGAUCAAAUUAUAGGUUCUAGAGACUAAGUUUAAGGGGUCAACAGUUAUGUAAUUAUGUGUGACUUAAUCUCAAAUAAUAGAUUUUAGAUUAGAGGUCUUAGAUCCUGUGAUUUUUUAUCUCCACAAUUAAUAUGGGGGUUUUCCACGUAAAAACUUUCUUGUGUCUAUUGCUUAUUUGUUUGAUUUUGAUAAUAUUGUUUAUCACUAAUAUCAUCUUAUAAUUUAUUUGGGUUAAUAAUUCAAUAAUUCAACUCCUAAAUUAUAAUAUUUAAAAAUACACUCAUUCGCCCCCUUCCAAUGGUACCAGGCAACAAUUUUUCACUAUUGUUUAAUAGCAUAAAAACCUAGACGGGCUGGUCUUGGACUCUCUUGGUUGGGGUUUGGGCCACCCUAGAUAGACUCAAGCGGGCCUUUAUGUCAGGCUGCAACCGGGUUGAGACUUGAGAAUUAACUCUGAGCCUAAUUCUGGCCCCAGGUCCAAUUCUUUAAUUUUUAUAGAUAAAAAUAAAAUAAAAUAAUUUGCAUGCCCAUGUAGAAAUCAUAUUUAGGAAAAACCAUUUCUGCGUGACCAAAAAGGAAAAGUAGACUUGGUGAAAUGGACUUGAAGAAGAGGGUAAACUUCAUAUGGCCAAGGCUUAGGCCUGUUUAAUUUGCUAGCUCCCCACUCUUGCCUUCCGCCGUAAAGGCCAGGCCUAUUUGUUUUCAUCUUCCAAGGCAAAAACAAAUUUCUUAGAGGCCCAUUUAGUAACAGUUAACAAAACAAGUUUUUGUUCACCAAAACAAAAAGACGGGAUACUACAUUUCCCGAUCAAAAAUCAAAAAAUUGUUUUUUAUUCUUAAAGAUAGAAAAUAUGGUGUUUUAAUAAUAUCUUUUAAUUGUUUUCAAUUGUUUAUCAACUAUUCUUUUAAAAAAUAAUUAUAUAAAUAUAGAGAAUGAUUAGAAAUAAAAUACUACAUAUAAAAAUUAUUUUUAAAACAUAUUUAAAGACAUAGAAAACUGGUAAAAAAUAUUUUGAAUUUUCAAACAAACAUCUGUUUUACAAAACAUCAUAAAACAUAGAGUUAAGUUAAAUUAAGUUUUAUUUAGAUUUAAAUAAAAAAAUAAUCUUUUCCAAUUUUUGUCUUAUUGUUGGUACUAUUUUUUUUAUAGUUUAGCUUUACAUUUUUAACCAGAAAAAUUGCAAAUUAAGUAGAUACCAAAUUGGUAAUCAAACAUUUUCCAAUACUUAGAUGGUGUUUGUUUUUUGGUUUAAUAGAAAAAACCGAAAUACUUUAUUUUUUCUAUUCAGUUAAAAGUAAUUUGUUAACAUCAUUCAAUAUAACUAAAUUAACAUAUUAAUAUCAAAUUCACUUUAGUUAUAUUAAAUAAUGUAAAUAGAUUACUUUUAAUUAAAUAAAAAAAAUUAAAUAUUUUGAUUUUUUCUAUUAAGUAAAAUAACAAACACCUAGUGAGCAUUUUGAACCUUCUCUCUCUGAACAUAAAGGUCCUUUCCAAAAUGCUAACCAACUAACCCAUAGGUCUUCCCACCCAAUUAAGAAAGUGCCCCGUCCCUGGACAGUCAAAAGGAAUCCAGUAAGCGACAAGUUGGCAGAGCAAAACCCCAUGGCCGGCCAGCCAGCCAGCCAGUGCUGACUGCAACAUUUAUCUACCAACUCUACUUUCUUUAUUAUUUCGCGUACACGGUAUACCCACGCGCUAAGAAGACUCAGUCACCCCUCGGAAGCCACUCAAGAAGUGAUCGCCAGUCAUUACAUGGUUCAAACCACUCGCUCGUAAAUGUGCAGAAAUGGUAAUUUGUCUUGGUGGAUCGUCUUCUAGUCAAGUCAAAAGUUAGGUAUUUUAUUAUAUAGUUUAACUCAAAUUUAAUAUAAAUAAUAAUCAUAUUAAAAACAUACACUUAAAAUUAUCUAAUAAUUAAACAGAUAAUACAUCGUGUAACUCAUAUAAUAAUCAAAUUGAUUAGAUCUUAUAUAUGUCUAUAUGAUUAAUGUUUCAAUAAACAUAUUUAUAAUUUAAUUGAUUUAUUUAUUUAAAAAAAUUAAUUUAAAAUAAGUCAAAUGUACGUUAAAUAUUUUAAAAAUAUAAUUAAAUCAAUAGCAAAAUUAUUAAGUGGGUUAAUUCGCAUCAAAUCCAUGUUACGUAAGUCGACACAAAUUUAACUCAUCCCAAUCCAAAUCAACAAAAAAAACAUGUUAAUUUUAUAUGGACGGAGGAAUCAUGUAAAAUUUUGUUACCCAUAUAAAGCUACAUGAUUCUCAAACAUAAACUUUAGCUUCUUCUUUUUUUUUUUUAAUUUUUUAUUUAUUUAUUUUAAUAAGGAUGUUUCCACUACCCCUUUUUUUUCUCACUCUGAAAAGUAGAUGGGAGACAAGAGAGCAUUAUUGCUUCCUUGCAAUUUACUCCUUACAAAAUGGUCCCUCUGGCCCCACCUUUCUUUAAAAGCUUCAUAGAUUUGUUCCCUCUUUUGUUUUAUUUCCUUCCCCUUUUUUUAGUGGAAUAUCAUUUGGGAAUUGUGUGGGGUCCCCAAAAAAAUAAAAAAAAAGUAUUCAGAUUUUCUUAUUGGAAAAAUAAUUGAAAACCCAAACAACUUAUUUUAAAUGGUCUAGCAUAAGAACAAUGUAAUUUUAAAAUAAUGGUUGAAAAAGCAUCCCCUAAAAGAAUAUUCUCCCAUCAAAUAAAGAUCAACUUCUAAUCUUAAAUCUAUAGUACUAUUAUGAACUUAGUAAUCAAGCACUAAAUUCCCAUUCAUUAAUAUGAAUAAUCUUUCUUUUUUUAACAUAAAAAAUAUAAUUUUUUAAAGAUAAAAAUACCCUAUAACAAUUUUUCUAAAUACCCUUUAAAUCUUAUUGACAGAAAAUGAUACUUUCGGGUUACCUUUUAAAAUAUCAAAAAAAUCCUAAUUGAGUGUUUCAUUAACCAAUUUUUUUGUCUCAACUUGUGAAUAGAACUACAAAAGCAAGGACCAUUCUUUUUCACAACACAAGAGUAUUGACCUUCAUUUUCAAGAGAAAAAUAAAAAUAAAAAAGUUUUUAUUUUUUCAGAAAGAAGAAUCAUAUUCUUUUUAUUCGUCAAUUUUCAGAGAAAAAACAGAAAAUACAUUCUUUAUGAUUUUUUUUAGAGAGAGUCUCCUCUCCAUAGAAAAAAUAUAUAUUUUUUUAUUUUAAUAAUGACAGUUUUAGGCAAUUUUGAAAAAAUCCAAAACUGUUUUCUCCUUUUCUAUUUUCUAGUCAGUGUACUUGAACAUCCAAACCCAAAUAAAAAUAAUAGAAUGGUCUCAUCCUAAUUUUUAAUAUGUGAAAUUAUUAUUUUUUAAAAUAUGAUAUUUUCCCAUCUUUUUAAUUAAUUUAGUUUCUACUGGCUUAAGAGUUGGCCACAUUGCCCAAUAAAGGAGCUUCUUUAAUGAUUAUUGUGCAUGCAUGAUCUUGAGGUAAGAUUUGGGGAAUAAACAAACAAGAAAGUCAGUGCAUGUGUCUCAAUUUCAGUAGUACCAUUUAGAUGCCAGAGCCCUCGACUAAUAUCAUAUGCAGAUAAAGAUAUAGAGAAAGCAACUUUGCUUUCCAAGUAUUAAUAAUAAUAUUAUCAUCUGCAAUAAUUUCUCAGUCUAAUAAUUGAGAUUACCUUUAAUUAUUAUUAUUAUUAGCUAUUAAAAUAAGAAGGUAUGUAGGAGUGGGGUUUUUUGAUUAUGAUUAGGAGAGACAAAUAGAAAGCAACCAGCCAGGCUGUGAUGCCCUUUGAACCCAAAACAUCGCACUAACACACUUCUUAUACCUUACUUCAUUGGAUGUAAUUUGAAUAUUUUUUUUUAAAAUAUUCAAGCAUGAAAAGGUAUUUAUCAAAUUCUUUCUUUUAAUACUUGAAUAUAUAUAUAUACGAUGAAAUUUAUAUCGUGAAAUAUAAUAUAAAUAAAUGAUAUUAUAAUAUAAGAUAUAGGUGUAACUCGGAUAGGUUGGCUUGAUCCUAUCAUAAUCAAUUCAAUGUUCAAUAAAUAUUUUUAUUACUUGGGUUGAGAUUCAAAUGACCUGCACUUAAUCGAAUCGAUUUAAUAUUUUAUAAUAUUUAUAAUAUUGUUUAUUAUCUUAUAUAAUAAUAUUUAUUUUCUUUUUAAUUUAAAAAAAAAUCAAUUAAUAAUAAUAUCAUAUACUUUUUCAUUUAAAUAUACAUAUAUAUAUAAGUUUAUUUUUACUUUUUUAUUAUUAUUUUAGAAUUUUGUGUUAUUUAUUAUUUAAAUUUUGGUAUAAUAUAUAUAGAAAAAAAAUUAAAAACCAAUAUGGAUGGAUUUUGAAUUAUAUAAUUCGAUCAAGUCGAAUCCAAUUCGAUCAAGUCGAAUCUAAUCCGAUCAACCAAGGUUUAACCUUAUCAAUCUAAUAAAUUCAAUCCAUUCAAUGUGAUUGGAUUAGCUUUAGAUUGAGUGUUUCAAGUUAAAGAUCAUAUUAGGUUAAACUUGAAUCGAUUAUUUCUUAAUUUAGAUUGAACUCGAGUUGCUCAUCAUCGUGAUGAAUCCGUCGAAGUUGCAACCUUAGUAUCAAGAACAUGAAUACAUAUAAUAUAUUUUUUAUUUUGGAAUAUACUUUAUUAGUACAUAUCUUCAAAUGUGAUAACAAGAAAUAAGCUUGAUUGAUUUUACAUCAUUUUGUUAUAAAAAUAGGCGUCAAAUAAUUCCUCAAUAUUUUUAAAAUUUUAAAUCACAUGAAAAUAGAAAGUUAGGUGUGUAAUUUAAUGAGGUUGAGGUAUUCCGUGAGAUAAAGAUAAAGUAAAAGUAAAAGUAAAUGGGGGAAAAAGGAAAAAAAAUAAGGAGAUGUGGGUGAGGUGGAGGCAUGAAACGUCUUUUCCGGUAAAGCCUAAAUAUCAGAAAUGUGGAGUCACUUCAAUGUAGAAGAGAGAAUCUCAGCCACAUUUAUUCACAGAUUGUUGAGAAUCUGUGAUCACAAUGAAAACAACACCACACCAUACCCAAAGAAAUUACCAAAUAAGCAAGGGUGCACCCUACCUGGGUUGAUUACACCUAACCAUAAACCAAUGUUUAGGCCAGUUUCAGUACUAGGAUUAGAUUUAGAUUAGGUUAAGGUUAAGGUUAAGGUUUGAAUAAUCUAAAUUUAACCCUCACCCAAUUUAAUGUUUUAUAUAUAUAUAUAUAUAUAUAUAUAUAUAUAUAUUAUUUAAAAAUGUAAUAUAGCAUCAUUCGUUCUACAAAAGAGAAAUGAUGGGAGCGGCGAGGAUUAGAACCUGGUACGGGUUCCUGGAAGGCGAGGCUCCACCUCUCCAUGCUGACGUGUCGAAAUACAAUUGGCUCUCAGCUUAGUGGACGCAGCUCACCGCAGAGGACCCAUCCUCUAAAGGUGGUUUAUUUACGAAUAAGCCCGACUGUGGUCCCCACACCGCAAAUAAUUCCCGUUGAAAAGAUGGCAUGGAAGAUGACAACUCACCCUCCUUUUAACGGCGUUAGGGUGAAAGUGACGUCAAGGUCACGGUGAAGGGCCGACUCGGUCAGCCACUCAAACGUGGCGGCCUAUCUCUAUCUUCAUUGACGCGUCGUCGUGGGUGCGAAGGUCGGUGCGAACCAUCCCUACUGAGGCCCACCUUUUUAGCGCUUGCCUAUAUAUCAUCCCUCUGAAUAGAUUGGAGUGAACAUACAGGGAAAAACAGCAGAGCAGAAACGCAGGAAGACAAAAAACAACAAAUACAACCCCUUCUCCUGUAGAGGAAGAAGAGCUGAGAUUCAAAAAAACAGAGACAUCUUCUCUCUCUCUUCUUUCUCUCUUCUUCUUUUUAAUUUGUUUUGAUUUUUUUGAUUUUAUUUUAGUUUUAUUUGGGUUGGGAAUUAUGGGGACGGAGAUCUUGAGGCCUCAGGACUGUUUGAUCGAGCGGAUGGGGGUCUCUCCGGCGGUUUUUCCUCGCCGUAAGGCUUUCCCCGGAAGCGCAAAGGCGAACCGGAGACCGGUGGUUCGGGCUGAGAGGUCGGACCAGAAGAGGCGGGGGAGUCAGUCGGAGGGGUCCAUUUCUAAGAGAUCGAGCUCCGAUGAUGUCAGGGCCGCGAAGGGGAAUGUUGUGGUGGGCCCGGUGACGAUUCUCAGGCGAGGGGAGUCGCUUGACUCGAAAUUAAAGAGCGAGGCUCUGAAGAAGAACGGCGAGGAGGAAAUGAUAGUUUCUGGAACCGAGAGGUUGGGCCCGGACCCGGAGAUGGUGCCGAAGCAGAUCCGCAUCAAGGAUCUGAAGCCGUUUGCUUUUUCGGUGGCCGCUAAGCCCGACAUGUACGCUGGAUCUGCGUUUGCGCUCUCGCCGUCGCCGAG
Molecule: long non-coding RNA, 39854 nt
Filed under: Vitis vinifera (wine grape)
Lineage: Eukaryota; Viridiplantae; Streptophyta; Magnoliopsida; Vitales; Vitaceae
Description: long non-coding RNA (VVIN_LNC001322)
Source: RNAcentral